UACAGGGGGUGCAAACGUUGCUCGGAAUCAUUGGGCGUAAAGCGCACGUAGGCGGUUCGUUAUGUCGGAUGUGAAAGCCCUUGGCUUAACCGAGGAAGUGCAUCCGAAACUGGCGAGCUAGAGUACUAAAGAGGAUCGCGGAAUUCCCGGUGUAGAGGUGAAAUUCGUAGAUAUUGGGAGGAACACCGGUGGCGAAGGCGGCGAUCUGGGUAGAUACUGACGCUGAGGUGCGAAAGCGUGGGGAGCAAACAGG
This 253-nucleotide ribosomal RNA is filed under the name uncultured bacterium. RNAcentral describes it as "partial 16S ribosomal RNA". It matches the Rfam family "Bacterial small subunit ribosomal RNA", at positions 524 to 776 of the family's 1533-position model. The record is from RNAcentral.